UUUUGAACUCUUUGCUAUCUGAAUACGGACUAUUUCAGAUCUCUUAUAACACACAUAAAGAUAAAUGGUCAAUUAAUAAAUUACUGACCAUGUAUGUGCAAAAGAAAGGCAGAUUAAUGCAAGAGAAAUAAAAUGCAGUUAAGUUUGUUUCUCAGAAGAGACAAAUAAAGCGUGCUAAGAAUGAUAAUGGCAAGAAUGACUCAAAAUUAUCUAGUUCACAAGGCCAAUCAAGUAAUUGGACUUCCAAAUGCUUCUUUU
Molecule: long non-coding RNA, 258 nt
Filed under: Ananas comosus (pineapple)
Lineage: Eukaryota; Viridiplantae; Streptophyta; Magnoliopsida; Poales; Bromeliaceae
Description: long non-coding RNA (ACOM_LNC010080)
Source: RNAcentral